UCUACGAGACAACGUUCGAGCUCGCCUCGACCACGUACCCUUGACCUCAAAUCGGGUGAGACUACCCGCUGAACUUAAGCAUAUCAAUAAGCGGAGGAAAAGAAACUAACGAGGAUUCCCCUAGUAACUGCGAGUGAAGCGGGAAAAGCUCAAAUUUAAAAUCUGACGGUCCUUGGCCGUCCGAGUUGUAAUUUAGAGAAGCGUCUUCCGCGCCGGACCGUGCACAAGUCUCCUGGAAUGGAGCGUCGUAGAGGGUGAGAAUCCCGUCUUUGGCACGGAUCCCCGGUGCUUCUGUGAUGCGCUCUCGAAGAGUCGAGUUGUUUGGGAAUGCAGCUCAAAAUGGGUGGUGAACUCCAUCUAAAGCUAAAUAUUGGCGAGAGACCGAUAGCGAACAAGUACCGUGAGGGAAAGAUGAAAAGCACUUUGGAAAGAGAGUGAAACAGUACGUGAAAUUGUUGAAAGGGAAACGCUUGAAGUCAGUCGCGUCGACCGAGACUCAGCCUCGCCUUGGCUUGGUGUACUUCUCGGCCCGACGGGUCAGCRUCGAUUUCGUCUCUCGGAAAAUGGCAAGGGAAAGGUGGCACCUUUGCGGGUGUGUUAUAGUCUCCUGUCGCACGCGAGGGGUUAGAUCGAGGAACUCAGCACGCGCCUUUUGGUGUCGGGGCUUCGGCCCACGUAACGUGCUUAGGAUGCUGGCGUAAUGGCUUUAAACGACCCGUCUUGAAACACGGACCAAGGAGUCCAACAUGCCCGCGAGUGUUCGGGUGGAAAACCCGUGCGCGUAAUUAAAGUGAAAGUUGGGACCUCUGUCGUGGAGGGCACCGACGCCCGGACCAGACCUUCUGUGACGGAUCUGCGGUAGAGCGUGUAUGUUGGGACCCGAAAGAUGGUGAACUAUGCCUGAAUAGGGUGAAGCCAGAGGAAACUCUGGUGGAGGCUCGUAGCGAUUCUGACGUGCAAAUCGAUCGUCAAAUUUGGGUAUAGGGGCGAAAGACUAAUCGA
This 1002-nucleotide ribosomal RNA is filed under the name uncultured fungus. RNAcentral describes it as "eukaryotic LSU rRNA". It matches the Rfam family "Eukaryotic large subunit ribosomal RNA", at positions 1 to 938 of the family's 3401-position model. The record is from RNAcentral. Lineage: Eukaryota; Fungi.